AUGUCUAGGCCGAGCUCUCCAACGCCUAGUGAAACGGAGGCCCGCGAGGAGGCCCUUCGUUCUCGAGAUCGUCGUGAUGUUCUUGAGCUCUUUGACGAACGUGCGAUGGAUUCCGAAGAAGAUCCUCGUUUUGCAGCUUUUGAGUGUUUUCACGGUUUCGACGAUGAUUCUUCUUCACGUCGUGAGAGGCGUCCCCGUGGACGUUCUCCUUCUCGAAUGUUGUGUCGCCGGUUGGCGCUUCAGAUGUUGUUUCUCGCCAGCAAUCUCAUCGUCUUCGUCGAUGGCUCGUUUGAGCUUCAAUGCCCCAAAGUGGAUGAGUCCAUGGUACGACACUUGAAGAAUGCGAAGAGGGAUCGCUCGGGUAACCGCAAAGUUGUUGAUUACGUUGAGAAAGCUUGGCUUUCGUCACAGUAUCAAGUUAUGGAUGCUAUGCGUCCCCUAAUUCACAUUUGGAUCAAUCUUCCGGACACCAGUCCUUUGAUGGAAGCGGCGGAAUCGGCUCUCCAGCUUUUGGGUGGUGCCUUUGCCAACAUCUCAAAGAUGCGUCGCCUCAAUGUGAUGCGCCAAGUUGCGCCCAAGAUGUCACCAUUGCUUGAUGAUCCACGCGUUUUCUCGUCGCGGGAAAUUUCGCGCCUUUUUGGAGACAAGUUCCUCGAUGCCAUGGUGAAGGAAGUUGAAGACGAGAAUAAGCUGGCAAAAAUUGGACGCGCUGGCGGUCCUUAUGAUCGUUCUUGGAGCACUGGUAACAACCGUUGGAACGACUCAAGAGUUUUUCGCAGUAGCGACCGCGGACAUUCUUCCAGUGGGAAUCGUUAUCACCCCCUUUCGGGUCAAAGUUCGCGUUACCAUCACAACCAAGGGGCCAGCGGUCCAGAUCGGGAAUCGCGAACGUCCAUGGACUCGAGCGACUGGAUGCUCGACAGACAUGUUUUCCACAAAAUUCGCACCUUGUGGGAAGUACAGAUCGAUCUAUUUGCCAACGCAUGGAACGCGCAGCUGUCGACAUUCGUGUCCUGGGUUCCGCAACCGCUUGCGCUGACAACCAACGCUUUCUCUCUGUGUUGGAAACGACGGAAAUGUUACGCGUUUCCCCCAUUUGCCCUCAUUCCGAGAUGCCUAGCGAAGGUUCGGAAGGAAGAGGCGUCGUUGGUUCUGGUGUGCCCCUUUUGGCCGUCUCAGACUUGGUAUCCUCUUCUUCUAGAGUUGACAGUGGACGUUCCCAGGAUAAUCAGGCCUCAGCCAGAUCUGUUGUUGUCGAGCGAUCGGGCGACACAUCCGCUCAACGAAUCGCUAAUCCUAUCCCAAUUGGAAUAACAAGGGGGCCAAUAACAGGUCUUUUGGCGGACGGGGCCGUUUUUGAAGGUGAUACGGCAUAACGGCUUACAGUAUCCGGAACAGGCGCUAGUAGCCUUUUUUAAUCCAGUCAUAUUUAUGCUUUCUCAUUUAAUUUUCGAAGAAGAGAACAGCGUAACUUUAUAUCCUACAUACGCGAUUUUGUCGGAUUCUGUGCGGAUGUAGUCUUAGAAAUGAUAUCAUUGGACCCAUGUAAUUUCUCCAGCAUGUGA
RNA transcript from Daphnia magna, 1565 nucleotides. RefSeq lists it as uncharacterized. NCBI's taxonomy places the organism in Eukaryota, Metazoa, Arthropoda, Branchiopoda, Diplostraca, Daphniidae. The record is from RefSeq and is a predicted model, not a curated record. The transcript has 6 exons.